GAUGAACGCUGGCGGCGUGCCUAAUACAUGCAAGUCGAGCGAAGGGACGAGAAGCUUGCUUCUCUGAUGUUAGCGGCGGACGGGUGAGUAACACGUGGAUAACCUACCUAUAAGACUGGGAUAACUUCGGGAAACCGUAGCUAAUACCGGAUAAGAUUUUGAACCGCAUGGUUCAAAAGUGAAAGACGGUCUUGCUGUCACUUAUAGAUGGAUCCGCGCUGCAUUAGCUAGUUGGUAAGGUAACGGCUUACCAAGGCAACGAUGCAUAGCCGACCUGAGAGGCUGAUCGGCCACACUGGAACUUGGCCGCGCACCCUGCUCCUGCGGGACGCCGCAGUAGGGAAUCUUCCGCAAUGGGCGAAAACCUUACGGAGCAACGCCGCGUGAGUGAUGACGGUCUUCGGAUCGUAAAACUCUGUUAUUAGGGAUGAACAUAUUUGUAAGUAACUGUGCCCAUCUUGACGGUACCUAAUCAGAAAGCCACGGCUAACUACGUG
RNAcentral lists this ribosomal RNA (497 nucleotides) under uncultured bacterium. Its description in RNAcentral is "partial 16S ribosomal RNA". It matches the Rfam family "Bacterial small subunit ribosomal RNA", at positions 28 to 507 of the family's 1533-position model. The record is from RNAcentral.